GUUCUGAGCCACUAAGGUAUGUAGUAAUUUGUUAUGCACCAAGUAGUAAGUAAUAUACCUGACAGUAAUUGUAAGGUGGUAUUCUGGAUUAGGUCCUGGAAUAGAUAAGUAUACCAUUAUUAGAAAACCUGGUAAAAUAUGAAGGAAGUUUGUAGAUGAGUUAAUAGUCUUGAAAAACAGUUAAAUUCUUAGUUUUCAUGAAUAUGCUAUGGUUACAAUAGAUAUUGACAUUCUAGUUAGCUGAAUGGUAUAUGAAACUGUCUGUACUUACCUAUGUGCAUUUAUGUAAAUCUGCAGUUAUUUCAAAAUAAAUAUGUUUUUUAAUAUUAUUCUUUUGUUUUUUAAGAAAAGUAAGCAAGUAAAGACAUCAGCAAACACUUUUGCCUCCAGAUACAAGUGGGCAUGUAGGGAGAGAAUAGUAAACUAGCUUUGCUUUUCUAGGCAACAUUCGAAACCCAGGCGCCACUGCUUCAGGAAGGUACCAUCAAGCUCCAAGGACUCUUGUCCUCUUUCUCCUUCCCCACUACCUAGUCAUUAGAGCGUCAGCAUCCACUUCUUGAAAGGAAGAUGCCUGUUUUUCACAUAUCCCAGAAAGCCCCAUUUUAGGACACCAUUUAGCAGAGUAUAUUCAGGACCCCACUAACGUUUUUGGAACACAUGACUUCCAGAUGAUAUAAGGCAAGAAUAAGAAAUUUCAGUGACAGGGAACAUAAAUCAUAUUUCUGCCUUCAGGAUCAUGUUUUCUUGGUACAGGGAUUUCUUCUUCAAGUAAUCCAAAGACAACUUUACCUUCAAACCUUUCAGAAAACCUGUUCUAAUUUAGUUCUCUCCAUUCUACAGGCUCCAUCAGGAACUGUUCAGGACCGUGCACUCUGUUGAUACUCACAUGGUGGAAUUAUAUUACCCUUGGCCAACCCUAAAGCCAUCAAGAUAGCAGAAUUAAUGAAGGAUCAUUAUUAAGUUUUUAAUGGGUCAAGAGCAAGUUACCACUGAAGUCUUCUCUACCUGGGCAACAAUUGACUCCUAAGAACCACUAUAAGCUUGGAAGAUGAUCCCUCCCCAGCUGAUACUUCAGGCAAGCCUUCUGGAAAAAUCAAGCCGAAGAAUUCUUAAUUGCCCAAUGUCCCUUAUCUGUUUCAGUAUAUUCAAGGAAUAUUAGCAGCGAAAAAGAAAAGAUAACUUUUCUUCACGAGAGAGAAGACCAAAAUUAUUUUAGGGAAAAAAGUUCAUUUAAUGAGGUUCCUGAGUCAGUAAAGUCCAAAGGAUUCAGUGUGUCCUCACAUUAACUCUGUAUGACUUACAGUGGAUUGUUGGUGAGAGUAUUCAGCCACAGGGUGCUAGGUAUGAUUUACUGUCACUACCACAAUUCUAUACAAAGCUGGCCACCCAGAGAUUCAUUUCAUAUGACUGGAGAUUGGUGCUUUUCAAAAUUAUUAAAUUACAAGUAAUCUCACCUGGCAAUUAUAAAUUGUUGCUACUAUCACAAUAUUUAUAUAAUUAUUAAAUUAAAUUUUUGGAAAAUAUUUUGCCUUGACAAAUUUCAUCUCAACAUGUUUGCUUCUGCCAAGUCAGAUGAUCUCAGAAUAAUCAUUUGCCAUCUAAUGUUAUUUUGCCUCACAAACACAAGGAAGAUUUUAUAUUCAAAAAAAGCAUCUAUUCCCAUUUGACAAGAAAAAUAAAGAGAUGGAUUUUUCUGGAA
Pongo pygmaeus (Bornean orangutan) is the source of this 1699-nucleotide long non-coding RNA. RefSeq lists it as uncharacterized. The record is from RefSeq and is a predicted model, not a curated record. The transcript is spliced from 5 exons. Lineage: Eukaryota; Metazoa; Chordata; Mammalia; Primates; Hominidae.